RNAcentral lists this ribosomal RNA (460 nucleotides) under uncultured bacterium. RNAcentral describes it as "partial 16S ribosomal RNA". It matches the Rfam family "Bacterial small subunit ribosomal RNA", at positions 338 to 795 of the family's 1533-position model. The record is from RNAcentral.
CCUACGGGAGGCAGCAGUGAGGAAUAUUGGUCAAUGGACGAGAGUCUGAACCAGCCAAGUAGCGUGAAGGAUGACUGCCCUAUGGGUUGUAAACUUCUUUUAUAUGGGAAUAAAAUGUUCCACGUGUGGGAUUUUGUAUGUACCAUAUGAAUAAGGAUCGGCUAACUCCGUGCCAGCCGCCGCGGUAAUACGGAGGAGCCGACCGUUAUCCGGAUUUAUUGGGUUUAAGGGGAGCGUAGGUGGAUGGUUAAGUCAGUUGUGAAAGUUUGCGGCUCAACCGUAAAAUUGCAGUUGAAACUGGCAGUCUUGAGUACAGUAGAGGUGGGCGGAAUUCGUGGUGUAGCGGUGAAAUGCUUAGAUAUCACGAAGAACUCCGAUUGCGAAGGCAGCUCACUGGACUGCAACUGACACUGAGGCUCGAAAGUGUGGGUAUCAAACAGGAUUAGAUACCCGUGUAGUC